GAUGAACGCUGGCGGCGUGCCUAAUACAUGCAAGUCGAACGAAACUUCUUUAUCACCGAGUGCUUGCACUCACCGAUAAAGAGUUGAGUGGCGAACGGGUGAGUAACACGUGGGCAACCUGCCCAAAAGAGGGGGAUAACACUUGGAAACAGGUGCUAAUACCGCAUAACCAUAGUUACCGCAUGGUAACUAUGUAAAAGGUGGCUAUCCUACCGCUUUUGGAGGGGCCCGCGGCGCAUUAGCUAGUUGGUAGGGUAAAGGCUUACCAAGGCAAUGAUGCGUAGCCGAAUUGAGAGGUUGAUCGGCCACAUUGGGACUGAGACACGGCCCAAACUCCUACGGGAGGCAGCAGUAGGGAAUCUUCCACAAUGGGCGAAAGCCUGAUGGAGCAACGCCGCGUGGGUGAAGAAGGUCUUCGGAUCGUAAAACCCUGUUGUUAGAGAAGAAAGUGCGUGAGAGUAACUGUUCACGUUUCGACGGUAUCUAACCAGAAAGCCACGGCUAACUACGUG
This 512-nucleotide ribosomal RNA is filed under the name uncultured bacterium. RNAcentral describes it as "partial 16S ribosomal RNA". It matches the Rfam family "Bacterial small subunit ribosomal RNA", at positions 28 to 507 of the family's 1533-position model. The record is from RNAcentral.